UACGUAGGGCGCGAGCGUUGUCCGGAUUUAUUGGGCGUAAAGAGCUCGUAGGCGGCUUGUCGCGUCGACUGUGAAAUCCCGCGGCUCAACCGCGGGUCUGCAGUCGAUACGGGCAGACUAGAGUUCGGUAGGGGAGAGUGGAAUUCCUGGUGUAGCGGUGAAAUGCGCAGAUAUCAGGAGGAACACCGAUGGCGAAGGCAGGUCUCUGGGCCGAUACUGACGCUGAGGAGCGAAAGCGUGGGGAGCGAACAGG
This 253-nucleotide ribosomal RNA is filed under the name uncultured bacterium. Its description in RNAcentral is "partial 16S ribosomal RNA". It matches the Rfam family "Bacterial small subunit ribosomal RNA", at positions 524 to 776 of the family's 1533-position model. The record is from RNAcentral.